RNAcentral lists this ribosomal RNA (255 nucleotides) under uncultured bacterium. RNAcentral's name for it is "partial 16S ribosomal RNA". It matches the Rfam family "Bacterial small subunit ribosomal RNA", at positions 524 to 776 of the family's 1533-position model. The record is from RNAcentral.
UACGUAGGGUGCGAGCGUUGUCCGGAAUUAUUGGGCGUAAAGGGCUCGUAGGCGGUUUGUCGCGUCGGGAGUGAAAUCCACUGGCUUAACUGGUGGCUUGCUUUCGAUACGGGCAGACUGGAGGUAUGCAGGGGGAGAACGGAAUUCCUGGUGUAGCGGUGAAAUGCGCAGAUAUCAGGAGGAACACCGGUGGCGAAGGCGGUUCUCUGGGCAUGUCCUGACGUGAGGAGCGAAAGUGUGGGGGGAGCGAACAGG